AUGUGCGCAUGCAUGAGGAACCCAAAAAAACAACACGGAAAAUGGGAUUUGGAGAAGGAUCACCGUGAGAUUGAGGGAGGGACUAAGUGUGUGCGUGAUAUUUCUUCCUCUGCGGGGCUCGCAGCGCGCAGGUACAGCAUCUUCUGCAAGUCCACCGCUCGGUUGACCGGCGCUUCCAGCACUGCAGGAAAGUUUCCAGUCGCGUCUGUGAUGAGUUACUACAUGGAUCCAGUUUCUUCCUACCCAGCCCUUCACCCCUGUGACCGUCUGGGCACAACGAGACCAGCUGGAGGAGUUGCAGUGGGCCCUGAGACCCACCUCCCAGGUGUGGUUCACCCCCAGCAGCAGUUUUACCCCUCACAGCCCCUUCACCCCCACGACAUACCCCUGCAGGAGGUACCGGACGGCCGUGACAUGUGUCCUACAGGUAGGAAGGAAACACACUUGAAAUCAAACAGGUUGUGGUUUCAAUCAAAUCAUGCAGUAAAUAAAAAUUUUGAGCAUAUUUAA
This 510-nucleotide long non-coding RNA is filed under the name Nothobranchius furzeri (turquoise killifish). RNAcentral describes it as "lncRNA (ENSNFUG00015004632.1)". The record is from RNAcentral. Lineage: Eukaryota; Metazoa; Chordata; Actinopteri; Cyprinodontiformes; Nothobranchiidae.